GAUGAACGCUGGCGGCGUGCCUAAUACAUGCAAGUCGAGCGAACAGACGAGGAGCUUGCUCCUCUGACGUUAGCGGCGGACGGGUGAGUAACACGUGGAUAACCUACCUAUAAGACUGGGAUAACUUCGGGAAACCGGAGCUAAUACCGGAUAAUAUAUUGAACCGCAUGGUUCAAUAGUGAAAGACGGUUUUGCUGUCACUUAUAGAUGUAUCCGCGCCGCAUUAGCUAGUUGGUAAGGUAACGGCUUACCAAGGCAACGAUGCGUAGCCGACCUGAGAGGGUGAGCGGCCACACUGGAACUGAGACACGGUCCAGACUCCUACGGGAGGCAGCAGUAGGGAAUCUUCCGCAAUGGGCGAAAGCCUGACGGAGCAACGCCGCGUGAGUGAUGAAGGUCUUCGGAUCGUAAAACUCUGUUAUUAGGGAAGAACAAAUGUGUAAGUAACUAUGCACGUCUUGACGGUACCUAAUCAGAAAGCCACGGCUAACUACGUG
RNAcentral lists this ribosomal RNA (497 nucleotides) under uncultured bacterium. RNAcentral describes it as "partial 16S ribosomal RNA". It matches the Rfam family "Bacterial small subunit ribosomal RNA", at positions 28 to 507 of the family's 1533-position model. The record is from RNAcentral.